This 419-nucleotide ribosomal RNA is filed under the name bacterium. RNAcentral's name for it is "partial 16S ribosomal RNA". It matches the Rfam family "Bacterial small subunit ribosomal RNA", at positions 355 to 776 of the family's 1533-position model. The record is from RNAcentral.
UGGGGGAUAUUGCACAAUGGGCGAAAGCCUGAUGCAGCGACGCCGCGUGGGGGAUGAAGGCCUUCGGGUUGUAAACUUCUUUUGCUCUGAACAAGGCGCACCAUGGGGUGUGUUGAGUGUAGGGGUUGAUUAGCGCCGGCUAACUACGUGCCAGCAGCCGCGGUAAUACGUAGGGCGCGAGCGUUGUCCGGAAUUAUUGGGCGUAAAGGGCUUGUAGGUGGCUGGUUGCGUCUGUCGUGAAAGCUCAUGGCUUAACUGUGGGUUUGCGGUGGGUACGGGCUGGCUUGAGUGCAGUAGGGGAGGCUGGAAUUCCUGGUGGAGCGGUGGAAUGCGCAGAUAUCAGGAGGAAUACCGGUGGCGAAGGCGGGUCUCUGGGCUGUUACUGACACUGAGGAGCGAAAGCAUGGGGAGCGAACAGG